CAGCAGCCGCGGGAAAACGAAGGGUGCAAGCGUUACUCGGAAUUACUGGGCGUAAAGCGUGCGUAGGUGGUGGUUUAAGUCCGUUGUGAAAGCCCUGGGCUCAACCUGGGAAUUGCAGUGGAUACUGGAUCACUAGAGUGUGGUAGAGGAUAGUGGAAUUUCCGGUGUAGCAGUGAAAUGCGUAGAGAUCGGAAGGAACAUCUGUGGCGAAGGCGACUAUCUGGGCCAACACUGACACUGAGGCACGAAAGCGUGGGGAGCAAACAGGAUUAGAUACCCCCGUAGUCCCUGUCUCUUAUAC
RNAcentral lists this ribosomal RNA (301 nucleotides) under uncultured bacterium. Its description in RNAcentral is "partial 16S ribosomal RNA". It matches the Rfam family "Bacterial small subunit ribosomal RNA", at positions 509 to 807 of the family's 1533-position model. The record is from RNAcentral.